AAAUAAAUCUUAACUCCAGGAUU
RNAcentral lists this small nuclear RNA (23 nucleotides) under Arabidopsis thaliana (thale cress). RNAcentral's name for it is "snRNA_00079". The record is from RNAcentral. Lineage: Eukaryota; Viridiplantae; Streptophyta; Magnoliopsida; Brassicales; Brassicaceae.